This 277-nucleotide unclassified non-coding RNA is filed under the name uncultured fungus. Its description in RNAcentral is "sequence contains ITS2". The stretch from base 1 to 52 matches the Rfam family "5.8S ribosomal RNA", at positions 103 to 154 of the family's 154-position model. The record is from RNAcentral. Lineage: Eukaryota; Fungi.
AACGCACCUUGCGCUCCUUGGCAUUCCGAGGAGCAUGCCUGUUUGAGUGUCAUGUUAAUUCUCAGCCCGGCCUCGGGUUGGAUUUGUGGACGUUGCGGGAGGCCAGCCCUCCGCUCGUCUUAAAUGCAUUAGCAGUUCCGGGCAGCGACCCAUUGCUGGCGUUUAGUGAUGCUUGCGCCGCGCGGGGAUUAUGUUGCCCUUCCCUGCUCUCGUAGCCGGCGUCGUCGGCACUUGACCUUUUGGCCUCAAAUCAGGUAGGAUUACCCGCCGAACUUAA